UACGUAGGGCGCAAGCGUUGUCCGGAAUUAUUGGGCGUAAAGAGCUCGUAGGCGGUUUGUCACGUCGGCUGUGAAAACCCGAGGCUCAACCUCGGGCCUGCAGUCGAUACGGGCAGACUAGAGUGCUGUAGGGGAGACUGGAAUUCCUGGUGUAGCGGUGAAAUGCGCAGAUAUCGAGGAGGAACCGAGCCGGUAGGGCGGAAGGCGGGUCUCUGGGC
This 218-nucleotide ribosomal RNA is filed under the name uncultured bacterium. Its description in RNAcentral is "partial 16S ribosomal RNA". It matches the Rfam family "Bacterial small subunit ribosomal RNA", at positions 524 to 734 of the family's 1533-position model. The record is from RNAcentral.